RNAcentral lists this ribosomal RNA (406 nucleotides) under uncultured bacterium. Its description in RNAcentral is "partial 16S ribosomal RNA". It matches the Rfam family "Bacterial small subunit ribosomal RNA", at positions 30 to 526 of the family's 1533-position model. The record is from RNAcentral.
AUUGAACGCUGGCGGCAGGCCUAACACAUGCAAGUCGAACGAGUGGCGGACUGGUGAGUAAUUUCUGGGAAACUGCCUGAUGGAGGGGGAUAACUACUGUAAACGGUAGCUAAUACCGCAUACCAUCAUCUGUGCCCUGCUUGGAUUAGCUAGUCGGUGGGGUAAAGGCUCACCUAGGCGACGAUCCCUAGCUGGUCUGAGAGGAUGACCAGCCACACUGGAACUGAGACACGGUCCAGACUCCUACGGGAGGCAGCAGUGGGGAAUAUUGGACAAUGGGCGAAAGCCUGACGCAGCCAUGCCGCGUGAGUGAAGAAGGCCUUCGGGUUGUAAAGUACUUUUGGCGGAGAGGCGGUACCCAAAGAAGAAGCACCGGCUAACUACGUGCCAGCAGCCGCGGUAAUUC